This 492-nucleotide ribosomal RNA is filed under the name uncultured bacterium. Its description in RNAcentral is "partial 16S ribosomal RNA". It matches the Rfam family "Bacterial small subunit ribosomal RNA", at positions 30 to 507 of the family's 1533-position model. The record is from RNAcentral.
AUUGAACGCUGGCGGUAUGCCUAACACAUGCAAGUCGAACGGCAGCACGGUAAGAGCUUGCUCUUACGGUUGGCGAGUGGCGGACGAUUGAGCGAUACAUCGGCAUCUACUUGUUCGAGGGGGACAAAGGAGGGAAACUUACGCUAAUAGCGCAUACGACCUACGGGGGGAACCAGAAGACCUUCGGCCCUUGCGCGAUUGAAUGAGCCGAUGUCGGAUUAGCUAGUUGGCGGGGUAAAGGCCCACCAAGGCGACGAUCCGUAGCUGGUCUGAGAGGAUGACCAGCCACACUGGAACUGAGACACGGUCCAGACUCCUACGGGAGGCAGCAGUGGGGAAUUUUGGACAAUGGGCGCAAGCCUGAUCCAGCCAUGCCGCGUGCGUGAAGAAGGCCUUCGGGUUGUAAAGCCCUUUUGUUGGGAAAGAAAAGCAGCAGGUUAAUACCCCGCUGUGAUGACGGUACCCAAAGAAUAAGCACCGGCUAACUUCGUG